CCUACGGGAGGCAGCAGUGGGGAAUAUUGCACAAUGGGGGAAACCCUGAUGCAGCGACGCCGCGUGAGUGAAGAAGUAUUUCGGUAUGUAAAGCUCUAUCAGCAGGGAAGAAAUAGCGACCUUUGGGUCGCCAGACGGUACCGGACAAAGAAGCCCCGGUUAACUACGUGCCAGCAGCCGCGGUAAUAGGUAGGGGGCAAGCGUUAUCCGGAUUUACUGGGUGUAAAGGGAGCGUAGACGGAAGCAAAAGUCUGAAGUGAAAUGCCGGGGCUUAACCCCGGAACUGCUUUGGAGAGUGUGCAGCUAGAGUGCCGGAGAGGUAAGUGGAAUUCCUAGUGUAGCGGUGAAAUGCGUAGAUAUUAGGAGGAACACCAGUGGCGAAGGCGGCUUACUGGACUGUAACUGACGUUGAGGCUCGAAAGCGUGGGGAGCAAACAGGAUUAGAUACCCCUGUAGUC
This 458-nucleotide ribosomal RNA is filed under the name uncultured bacterium. RNAcentral's name for it is "partial 16S ribosomal RNA". It matches the Rfam family "Bacterial small subunit ribosomal RNA", at positions 338 to 795 of the family's 1533-position model. The record is from RNAcentral.